This 396-nucleotide ribosomal RNA is filed under the name uncultured bacterium. RNAcentral's name for it is "partial 16S ribosomal RNA". It matches the Rfam family "Bacterial small subunit ribosomal RNA", at positions 338 to 731 of the family's 1533-position model. The record is from RNAcentral.
CCUACGGGUGGCAGCAGUGAGGAAUAUUGGUCAAUGGACGAGAGUCUGAACCAGCCAAGUCGCGUGAAGGAUGACUGCCCUAUGGGUUGUAAACUUCUUUUAUAAAGGAAUAAAACGAGGCACGUGUGCCUUUUUGCGUGUACUUUAUGAAUAAGGAUCGGCUAACUCCGUGCCAGCAGCCGCGGUAAUACGGAGGAUCCGAGCGUUAUCCGGAUUUAUUGGGUUUAAAGGGUGCGUAGAUGGGUUGUUAAGUCAGUUGUUAAAGUUUGCGGCUCAACCGUAAGAGUGCAAUUGAUACUGGCAGGCUGGAGUACAGGUGAGGUAGGCGGAAUGCGUGGUGUAGCGGUGAAAUGCUUAGAUAUCACGAAGAACCCCGAUUGCGAAGGCAGCGUACUA